GGUUGUGUGGUGUAACGGUUAGCACAUGAGAUUUUGACACAUCAGAAUCAUGGCUCUGAUCUUCAGACCUUCUCGGGACCAGGGUUCGACUCCCUGCACGACCU
This 104-nucleotide transfer RNA is filed under the name Drepanopeziza brunnea f. sp. 'multigermtubi' MB_m1. RNAcentral's name for it is "Marssonina brunnea f. sp. 'multigermtubi' MB_m1 tRNA". It matches the Rfam family "tRNA". From Rfam's summary of the family: Transfer RNA (tRNA) molecules are approximately 80 nucleotides in length. Their secondary structure includes four short double-helical elements and three loops (D, anti-codon, and T loops). Lineage: Eukaryota; Fungi; Ascomycota; Leotiomycetes; Helotiales; Drepanopezizaceae. The record is from Rfam by way of RNAcentral.